CCACUAUGCUUAACCAUAAACCUAGACAGCCAAAAACUCUUACUGUCCGCCAGAGAACUACAMGCAAAAGCUUAAAACUCAAAGGACUUGGCGGUGCUCUACACCUAACUAGAGGAGCCUGUCCCAUAAUCGAUACCCCACGAUAAACCCGACCACUCUUUGAAUACUUCAGCCUAUAUACCGCCGUCACCAGCCUACCUCAUGAGAGUACAAAAGUAAGCAAAACUGCAAACACAAUUACGCCAGGUCAAGGUGUAGCUUACAGGGUGGAGAAGAUGGGCUACAUUUUCUAAGACAGAAUACGCACGGAAAGGCUUAUGAAAAACAACCUAAAAGGCGGAUUUAGCAGUAAAAUAAACAAGAAUUUUUACUUGAAGAUUGCUCUAGAGCACGCACACACCGCCCGUCACCCUCCUCAAUGCACAAACUACAAUUAAACAUAUUAAAACCGCGCACCAAGAUGAGGCAAGUCGUAACACGGUAAG
This 485-nucleotide ribosomal RNA is filed under the name Xantusia vigilis. RNAcentral's name for it is "partial 12S ribosomal RNA". It matches the Rfam family "Bacterial small subunit ribosomal RNA", at positions 787 to 1500 of the family's 1533-position model. Lineage: Eukaryota; Metazoa; Chordata; Lepidosauria; Squamata; Xantusiidae. The record is from RNAcentral.